RNAcentral lists this ribosomal RNA (372 nucleotides) under uncultured organism. RNAcentral's name for it is "partial 16S ribosomal RNA". It matches the Rfam family "Bacterial small subunit ribosomal RNA", at positions 527 to 896 of the family's 1533-position model. The record is from RNAcentral.
GGAGGGAGCGAGCGUUGUUCGGAAUCACUGGGCGUAAAGGGCACGUAGGCGGCCGAGUAAGUCGUGUGUGAAAGACCGGGGCUCAACUCCGUGUACUGCAUGCGAUACUGCCCGGCUAGAGAAAGGUAGAGGCGAGUGGAAUUCCCGGUGUAGCGGUGGAAUGCGUAGAUAUCGGGAAGAGCACCUGUGGCGAAGGCGGCUCGCUGGGCCUUUUCUGACGCUGAAGUGCGAAAGCGUGGGGAGCAAACAGGAUUAGAUACCCUGGUAGUCCACGCCGUAAACGAUGGGCACUAGGCGUUGGGAGGAUUGACCCUCUCAGUGCCGCAGCUAACGCGUUAAGUGCCCCCGCCUGGGAGUACGGCCGCAAGGCUG